AUGGCCAUAUUUUUUACAGAGUUGGCAUGUUUUUUAAUCUCUGUGAUACUUGACUCAUCCUCUUGUCCAGUGAGAAGAAGUAAACAGUCUGCCCUGGACUUUGUCACCACUACCAGUUCACCAGAGUCGUCCCAAGCACAGGGACAACAGCUCACACUCGAGAACACCAAGACCCACAGCUCCUGGCAGAUUCUGGAUAGCCUUUCCAAGCCACCAGUACCCCUGCUUCCAUUUUCUCCAGCCACACUGACAGCUGUUUGAAAAUCAUAGACUUCAGUCUAUGGUGUUUUCAUGUGAAGAUAGGCAAACAGGUUAAUAAAUUCACUCAAGGUUACUGAGAUCUCA
This 345-nucleotide long non-coding RNA is filed under the name Phasianus colchicus (ring-necked pheasant). RNAcentral's name for it is "lncRNA (ENSPCLG00000019336.1)". The record is from RNAcentral. Lineage: Eukaryota; Metazoa; Chordata; Aves; Galliformes; Phasianidae.